RNAcentral lists this ribosomal RNA (251 nucleotides) under uncultured prokaryote. RNAcentral describes it as "partial 16S rRNA". It matches the Rfam family "Bacterial small subunit ribosomal RNA", at positions 525 to 775 of the family's 1533-position model. The record is from RNAcentral.
ACGGAGGGUGCUAGCGUUGUCCGGAAUUAUUGGGCGUAAAGGGUGCGUAGGCGGCUGAAUAAGUCAGAUGUGAAAGACCUGUGCUCAACUUGGGUGGUGCAUUUAAAACUGUUCGGCUAGAGUAUAGGAGAGGGAAGUGGAAUUCCUGGUGUAGCGGUGAAAUGCGUAGAUAUGAGGAGGAACACCAGUGGCGAAGGCGGCUUUCUGGACUAAUACUGACGCUGAGGCACGAAAGCGUGGGGAGCAAACAG